GACGAACGCUGGCGGCGCGCCUAACACAUGCAAGUCGAACGGAGUCAAGAGGAGCUUGCUUUUCUUGACUUAGUGGCGAACGGGUGAGUAACGCGUGAGUAACCUGCCCUGGAGUGGGGGACAACAGUUGGAAACGACUGCUAAUACCGCAUAAGCCCACGGAUCUGCAUGGAUCUGCGGGAAAAGGAUUUAUUCGCUCUAGGAUGGACUCGCGUCCAAUUAGCUAGUUGGUGAGGUAACGGCCCACCAAGGCGACGAUUGGUAGCCGGACUGAGAGGUUGAACGGCCACAUUGGGACUGAGACACGGCCCAGACUCCUACGGGAGGCAGCAGUGGGGGAUAUUGCACAAUGGGGGAAACCCUGAUGCAGCGACGCCGCGUGGAGGAAGAAGGUUUUCGGAUUGUAAACUCCUGUCGCUAGGGACGAUAAUGACGGUACCUAACAAGAAAGCACCAGCUAACUACGUG
RNAcentral lists this ribosomal RNA (468 nucleotides) under uncultured bacterium. RNAcentral describes it as "partial 16S ribosomal RNA". It matches the Rfam family "Bacterial small subunit ribosomal RNA", at positions 28 to 507 of the family's 1533-position model. The record is from RNAcentral.